AGUGAACGCUGGUGGUAGGCCUAACACAUGCAAGUCGAACGGCAGCACAGUAAGAGCUUGCUCUUACGGGUGGCGAGUGGCGGACGGGUGAGGAAUACAUCGGAAUCUACUUUUUCGUGGGGGAUAACGUAGGGAAACUUACGCUAAUACCGCAUACGACCUACGGGUGAAAGCAGGGGAUCUUCGGACCUUGCGCGAUUGAAUGAGCCGAUGUCGGAUUAGCUAGUUGGCGGGGUAAAGGCCCACCAAGGCGACGACCCGUAGCUGGUCUGAGAGGAUGAUCAGCCACACUGGAACUGAGACACGGUCCAGACUCCUACGGGAGGCAGCAGUGGGGAAUAUUGGACAAUGGGCGCAAGCCUGAUCCAGCCAUACCGCGUGGGUGAAGAAGGCCUUCGGGUUGUAAAGCCCUUUUGUUGGGAAAGAAAAGCAGCAGGUUAAUACCCCGCUGUUCUGACGGUACCCAAAGAAUAAGCACCGGCUAACUUCGUG
Molecule: ribosomal RNA, 492 nt
Filed under: uncultured bacterium
Lineage: Bacteria
Description: partial 16S ribosomal RNA
Rfam family: Bacterial small subunit ribosomal RNA
Source: RNAcentral